GCGUUAGGGUUAAAAUCACUGUCCAAAACCUUUGUAGGAACUCUUUUCCAACCUUUUGGAGUUAGUUAGACCAAAAAAUAUGAAAAAAGAAAAAAAUAUUAUUGGGGGUUUUCGGGCUCCCUGAAAGUAAUACCCGUGUAUUAGGUUUUGGGACUAGGGAAAGGUUUAAGGUUUUUGGCGUUAGGGUUAAAAUCACUGUCCAAAACCUUUGUAGGAACUCUUUUCCAACCUUUUGGAGUUAGUUAGACCAAAAAAAAAAAAAAGAAAAAUGAAAAAAAAAUAUUUGGGGUGUUCAGGCUUCCUAAAAGUAAUACCCGGGUAUUAGGUUAUGGGGCUAGGGUAAGGUUUAAGGUUUUUGGCGUUAGGGUUAAAAUCACUGUCCAAAACCUUUGUAGGAACUCUUUUCCAACCUUUUGGAGUUAGUUAGACCAAAAAAAAAUGAAAAAUGAAAAAAAAAUAUUUGGGGUUUUCGGGCUUCCUGAAUGUAAUACCCGGGUAUUAGAUUUUAAGGCUAGGGUAAGGUUUAAGUUUUUUGGCGUUAGGGUUAAAAUCACUGUCCAAAACCUUUGUAGGAACUCUUUUCCAACCUUUUGGAGUUAGUUAGACCAAAAAAAAAAAAAUGAAAAAUGAAAAAAAUAUAUUUGGGGUGUUCAGGCUUCCUAAAAGUAAUACCCGGGUAUUAGAUUUUAAGGCUAGGGAAAGGUUUAAGUUUUUUGGCGUUAGGGUUAAAAUCACUGUCCAAAACCUUUGUAGGAACUCUUUUCCAACCUUUUGGAGUUAGUUAGACCAAAAAAUAUGAAAAAAGAAAAAAAUAUUUUGGGGGUUUUCGGGCUCCUGAAGGUAAUACCCAGGUAUUAGGUUUUGGGACUGGGGAAAGGUUUAAGGUUUUUGGCGUUAGGGUUAAAAUCACUGUCCAAAACCUUUGUAGGAACUCUUUUCCAACCUUUUGGAGUUAGUUUGACCAAAAAAAAAAGAAAAAUGAAAAAAAAAAUAUUUGGGGUGUUCAGGCUUCCUAAAAGUAAUACCCGGGUAUUAGGUUUUGGGGCUAUGGUAAGGUUUAAGUUUUUUGGCGUUAGGGUUAAAAUCACUGUCCAAAACCUUUGUAGGAACUCUUUUCCAACCUUUUGGAGUUAGUUAGACCAAAAAAAAAUGAAAAAUUAAAAAACAAUAUUUGGGGUUUUCGGGGUUCCUGAAUGUAAUACCCGGGUAUUAGAUUUUGAGGCUAGGGUAAGGUUUAAGUUUUUUGGCGUUAGGGUUAAAAUCACUGUCCAAAACCUUUGUAGGAACUCUUUUCCAACCUUUUGGAGUUAGUUAGACCAAAAAAAAUGUAAAAUGAAGAAAAAAAUAUUUGGGGUGUUCAGGCUUCCUGAAGGUAAUACCCGGGUAUUAGAUUUCAAGGCUAGGGUAAGGUUUAAGGUUUUUGGCGUUAGGGUUAAAAUCACUGUCCAAAACCUUUGUAGGAACUCUUUUCCAACCUUUUGGAGUUAGUUAGACCAAAAAAAAUGAAAAAAGAAAAAAAUAUUAUUGGGGGUUUUCGGGCUCCCUGAAAGUAAUACCCGUGUAUUAGGUUUUGGGACUAGGGAAAGGUUUAAGGGUUUUGGCGUUAGGGUUAAAAUCACUGUCCAAAACCUUUGUAGGAACUCUUUUCCAACCUUUUGGAGUUAGUUAGACCAAAAAAAAAAAGAAAAAUGAAAAAAAAAUAUUUGGGGUGUUCAGGCUUCCUAAAAGUAAUACCCGGGUAUUAGGUUAUGGGGCUAUGGUAAGGUUUAAGUUUUUUGGCGUUAGGGUUAAAAUCACUGUCCAAAACCUUUGUAGGAACUCUUUUCCAACCUUUUGGAUUUAGUUAGACCAAAAAAUAAAGAAAAAUGAAAAAAAAAUAUAUGGGGUGUUCAGGCUUCCUAAAAGUAAUACCUGGGUAUUAGGUUAUGGGGCUAUGGUAAGGUUUAAGGUUUUUGGCGUUAGGGUUAAAAUCACUGUCCAAAACCUUUGUAGGAACUCUUUUUCAACCUUUUGGAGUUAGUUAGACCAAAAAAAAAUGAAAAAUGAAAAAAAAUAUAUUUGGGGUGUUCAGGCUUCCUAAAAGUAAUACCCGGGUAUUAGGUUAUGGGGCUAUGGUAAGGUUUAAGGUUUUUGGCGUUAGGGUUAAAAUCACUGUCCAAAACCUUUGUAGGAACUCUUUUCCAACCUUUUGGAGUUAGUUAGACAAAAAAAAAAAUUAAAAAUGAAAAAAAAUAUAUUUGGGGUUUACGGGCUUCCUGAAUGUAAUACCCGGGUAUUAGAUUUU
Molecule: long non-coding RNA, 2284 nt
Filed under: Xyrichtys novacula (pearly razorfish)
Lineage: Eukaryota; Metazoa; Chordata; Actinopteri; Labriformes; Labridae
Source: RNAcentral